GACAACCUGCAGAGUUGUGUUGAUCUGGAUUAUGAUGUAGAUUCUUCAUCUAUGAGUGAAGCUCAAUCAAAGAUGGAGGAUCUGCAUCGUAAACUGGAUUAUCACGACUAUCGAACAACG
RNAcentral lists this microRNA precursor (120 nucleotides) under Physcomitrium patens. RNAcentral's name for it is "Physcomitrella patens miR902i stem-loop (ppt-MIR902i)". Its record names the gene ppt-MIR902i. Lineage: Eukaryota; Viridiplantae; Streptophyta; Bryopsida; Funariales; Funariaceae. The record is from miRBase by way of RNAcentral.